This 274-nucleotide long non-coding RNA is filed under the name Homo sapiens (human). RNAcentral's name for it is "HSALNT0318087". Lineage: Eukaryota; Metazoa; Chordata; Mammalia; Primates; Hominidae. The record is from RNAcentral.
CCGCCAUUAACUCGGAGCCCGGCGCAGUGGAAAGCGGGCCAAGAAGCAGAGGUCCAGGUUCCAACUCUUGAUUCUAUCACAAAACACUGCACCCGAGGCAGCCAGGCAGCUUCCGAAGACCUCUUGGAUGCAGCAACAUCAGAGGGGUGAUUACCCCCAAUUGCCAAAGAGGUUUCCAGCGCUGGAAGGAAAUUUGGAGAUCAAGGCCGAGUUGGCCUCAGCCAAGUGAAAUGGGAAUCAGGACCAUUACAAAGAAAUUCAAUUAAAAUAAAAG